RNAcentral lists this ribosomal RNA (253 nucleotides) under uncultured bacterium. RNAcentral's name for it is "partial 16S ribosomal RNA". It matches the Rfam family "Bacterial small subunit ribosomal RNA", at positions 524 to 776 of the family's 1533-position model. The record is from RNAcentral.
UACGGGGGGGGCAAGCGUUGUCCGGAAUCAUGGGGCGUAAAGAGCGUGUAGGCGGCCAGAAAAGUCCGCUGUGAAAACUCGAGGCUCAACUUCGAGCUGUCGGUGGAAACUUUCUGGCUAGAGUCCGGAAGAGGAGAAUGGAAUUCCUGGUGUAGCGGUGAAAUGCGCAGAUAUCAGGAAGAACACCCGUGGCGAAGGCGGUUCUCUGGGACGGUACUGACGCUGAGACGCGAAAGCGUGGGGAGCGAACAGG